RNAcentral lists this unclassified non-coding RNA (252 nucleotides) under Hevea brasiliensis (rubber tree). The record is from RNAcentral. Lineage: Eukaryota; Viridiplantae; Streptophyta; Magnoliopsida; Malpighiales; Euphorbiaceae.
CUGGAAGAUCGUCGUCGAGGCUGGGUGGAGAUAAUGGUGGGAUAGCUGAGAGGUCAGAAAGAUUGUCCACAAUUUCCAGGACCCUUCUGGCAGUUGCUUGAAAAUCCCCCCUAUUAAUACCGACCUUCCUAGAAGAUAGAACUCCAGAUUCAAUUGGUCUAGAAGAAUUGCUACUCUCAACAGAUGAUAAGAAUUGAUCUUUUGCCAGUGUAUUUUGAACAGCAGAUGAGAUUACAGAACUAAAGAUGCCAG